CAGACUCCUACGGGAGGCAGCAGUGGGGAAUAUUGCGCAAUGGGGGGAACCCUGACGCAGCCAUGCCGCGUGAAUGAAGAAGGCCUUCGGGUUGUAAAGUUCUUUCGGUAUUGAGGAAGGUUGGUGUGUUAAUAGCGCAUCAAAUUGACGUUAAAUACAGAAGAAGCACCGGCUAACUCCGUGCCAGCAGCCGCGGUAAUACGGAGGGUGCGAGCGUUAAUCGGAAUAACUGGGCGUAAAGGGCACGCAGGCGGACUUUUAAGUGAGGUGUGAAAUCCCCGGGCUUAACCUGGGAAUUGCAUUUCAGACUGGGGGUCUAGAGUACUUUAGGGAGGGGUAGAAUUCCACGUGUAGCGGUGAAAUGCGUAGAGAUGUGGAGGAAUACCGAAGGCGAAGGCAGCCCCUUGGGAAUGUACUGACGCUCAUGUGCGAAAGCGUGGGGAGCAAACAGGAUUAGAUACCCUGGUAGUCCACGCUGUAAACGCUGUCGAUUUGGGGAUUGAGCUUAAAGCUUGGUGCCCGAAGCUAACGUGAUAAAUCGACCGCCUGGGGAGUACGGCCGCAAGGUUAAAACUCAAAUGAAUUGACGGGGGCCCGCACAAG
Molecule: ribosomal RNA, 603 nt
Filed under: uncultured bacterium
Lineage: Bacteria
Description: bacterial SSU rRNA
Rfam family: Bacterial small subunit ribosomal RNA
Source: RNAcentral